UCCAGACUCCUACGGGAGGCAGCAGUGAGGAAUAUUGGUCAAUGGGCUAAGGCCUGAACCAGCCAAGUCGCGUGAGGGAAGACGGUCCUAUGGAUUGUAAACCUCUUUUGUCGGGGAGCAACGAGGCCACGUGUGGCCGAAGUGAGAGUACCCGAAGAAAAAGCAUCGGCUAACUCCGUGCCAGCAGCCGCGGUAAUACGGAGGAUGCGAGCGUUAUCCGGAUUUAUUGGGUUUAAAGGGUGCGCAGGCGGAAUGUCAAGUCAGCGGUAAAAUUUCGGGGCUCAACCCCGUCGUGCCGUUGAAACUGGCGUUCUUGAGUGAGCGAGAAGUAUGCGGAAUGCGUGGUGUAGCGGUGAAAUGCAUAGAUAUCACGCAGAACUCCGAUUGCGAAGGCAGCAUACCGGCGCUCAACUGACGCUCAUGCACGAAAGCGUGGGUAUCGAACAGGAUUAGAUACCCGGGUAC
This 465-nucleotide ribosomal RNA is filed under the name uncultured bacterium. Its description in RNAcentral is "bacterial SSU rRNA". It matches the Rfam family "Bacterial small subunit ribosomal RNA", at positions 330 to 793 of the family's 1533-position model. The record is from RNAcentral.